Molecule: long non-coding RNA, 972 nt
Organism: Cuculus canorus (common cuckoo)
Lineage: Eukaryota; Metazoa; Chordata; Aves; Cuculiformes; Cuculidae
Exons: 3
Source: RefSeq, a predicted model, not a curated record
GGGUGGAGGAAAAAAAACCUGGCAGCAUGUCUUUAUUUCAUGAGUACCCCAGGCCCAAAAUAAAGCAGGAAACGGUCUCUUGUGACUCUUCUAUUUUAAACCCUUUCCCUGUGCUGCAACCUAGCUAUGUUUCCUUAUGCCAUCCUGUCUGCUUACCUGCUUCUUGAAUGUUUCUCCAUGUACUGAAAGCUCGAGCUGUUUCUGAAAGUGAAUACAGAAGAUGCAAGUGAGGAAAAAGUUGACUUUUGACUCUUACUAGUUGGGGAUGGUGCACAAGGACCAUGGUUUUUGUCCUCCCUUUGGGCAAAGGCUGCUGUGUCACGGCCUGUCCCUGCUAGCAGACACGUACGCAGUGUACGCAGUUCGCCGGGGAGGGCUGGGACUCCUCGCCCAGGCACGGAGAGGAUUUGCUGUGCUAUUCAAUAGCCUGCAGUGAUAAAUGAGAUCUGCCCUUGGGCAGCUGGCCCACAUGCAAUGUGACAGUGCAGGGGGAUUGCACAUUUGUACUCCCCUUCCCCCUUGCGUGCUGUCUAGCACUGCAUUCGCCUCUCUCAGCUCGUUGAGAGUGUGUCCCUUCAGAUCCACAAUGCUGCUGGCCACGGUGAUGGGCGUGAGAGCAACCAAAUGCCGAAUGACGGAAGGAUAAGAUAACCUGAGCGGAGCCUUCUCAACCCUCCUCCAAAGUGAAUUCCAUCUGCUCGUCCUUACACCGGAAUGAAGACAUUGUCAACCUUUGACAAAGAAAGCUUUUCUCUAAAGUAUUUGCCUACAGUCUGAGGAUCCAGCAUCAGCAGCACAGCAGGGGCAGGCUGGCAGAGGAGGGUUCUGCUCGGCUGUGGCGGCCACGCUCCUGCAGCCAGGUCUAAUUUUAAUGUUAUUAUGAACUUCACACCAGUCAAACCUCUUGCUAAUUUGGAGCUUUGCAGCCAGCUCUGCCUGUUCCUGCAUUAGAGAUGGGGAAAGGCUGCAAAC